AAUUUAUUUAUAAUAUCAAGAAAUGAACAAGGUUUCUAGUCUUUCUACUUUCUAUUUUGUUCUUAUAAAUUUUCUUAUUAUAUCAUGGUGUUUACAAAGUGAAGCCAGGAUGUUCUUGGACAUGGAGAACUUGUCUUCAAUUAAAUUCAAAGGUGUUAUACGAGGUCGCAGUAAUAGAGAAACUCCGAUUAUAAUCAACCCUUCGCCAACAGCAAAUACUCGUAAUCAUGUUGACUAUACUCCACCACCGUUGAUAAGUUAAUCGAGAAACUCCGAUUAAAAUCAACCCUUCGCCAACAACAAAUACUCGUGAAGAACCAAUUGAACGAAAUGUUGAAGACGAUCGGCUAUUUUACUAUGAUUGGGCCAGGUGGCACGCGACCGCUAUAGACUAUUGAGUAAUUUUAAUGUGUAUUUCUAUUUUUAAUUAAUCGGAGAUUUCUGUUAUGGAAUCGAAGAUAUUAUGCUAGAAAGAAAAUUAAAGUGAGAAUAAA
This is a long non-coding RNA of Solanum stenotomum, 494 nucleotides long. RefSeq lists it as uncharacterized. NCBI's taxonomy places the organism in Eukaryota, Viridiplantae, Streptophyta, Magnoliopsida, Solanales, Solanaceae. The transcript is spliced from 2 exons. The record is from RefSeq and is a predicted model, not a curated record.